AUACUACUUCUUCCGUCUCAAAUUUUUUGUCUUAGAUUCGUCUAAAUAUGGAUGUAUCUAAUAUUAGAAUGUGACUUGAUACAUUCUAUUUAGAUAAAUCUAGGAUAAAGUUUUUGGAACGGAGAAAGUACUUG
This is a non-coding RNA of Triticum aestivum (bread wheat), 134 nucleotides long. Lineage: Eukaryota; Viridiplantae; Streptophyta; Magnoliopsida; Poales; Poaceae. The record is from Rfam.